AGUCGAACGGUGGUAGUAAUACCAUAGUGGCGCACGGGUGCGUAACACGUAACUAACCUACCUAUAACUGGGGGAUAGCCCGCCGAAAGGCGGAUUAAUACCGCAUAAGCUCUUUAGCUGGCAUCAGCUGAUUAGUAAAGAUUUAUUGGUUAUAGAUGGGGUUGCGGGUCAUUAGCUAGUUGGUUGGGUAACGGCUGACCAAGGCGACGAUGACUAGGGGAGCUGAGAGGCUGGUCCCCCACACGGGCACUGAGAUACGGGCCCGACUCCUACGGGAGGCAGCAGUAGGGAAUAUUGGGCAAUGGGCGAGAGCCUGACCCAGCCAUGCCGCGUGCAGGAAGAAGGCUUUCUGAGUCGUAAACUGCUUUUGACAGGGAAGAAUAAGCAUUACGUGUAAUGUGAUGACGGUACCUGCAGAAUAAGCACCGGCUAACUCCGUGCCAGCAGCCGCGGUAAUACGGAGGGUGCGAGCGUUGUCCGGAUUUAUUGGGUUUAAAGGGUGCGUAGGCGGCCCGUUAAGUCCGGGGUGAAAGCCCGUUGCUCAACAACGGAACUGCCCUGGAUACUGACGGGCUUGAGUACAGACGAGGUUGGCGGAAUGGACCGAGUAGCGGUGAAAUGCAUAGAUACGGUCCGGAACCCCGAUUGCGAAGGCAGCUGACUAGGCUGUUACUGACGCUGAGGCACGACAGCGUGGGGAGCGAACAGGAUUAGAUACCCUGGUAGUCCACGCCGUAAACGAUGGAUACUCGCUGCGAGCUAAAGAUUGUUCGUGGCUUAGGGAAACCGAUAAGUAUCCCACCUGGGGAGUACGCCGGCAACGGUGAAACUCAAAGGAAUUGAC
This 844-nucleotide ribosomal RNA is filed under the name uncultured bacterium. Its description in RNAcentral is "bacterial SSU rRNA". It matches the Rfam family "Bacterial small subunit ribosomal RNA", at positions 60 to 914 of the family's 1533-position model. The record is from RNAcentral.